CCUACGGGUGACAGCAGUGAGGAAUAUUGGUCAAUGGGCGAGAGCCUGACCCAGCCAAGUCGCGUGAGGGAAGACGGUCCUAUGGAUUGUACACCCCUUUUGCCGGGGAGCAAAGCGCGGUACGUGUACCGCAUCGAGAGUACCCGGAGAAAAAGCAUCGGCUAACUCCGUGCCAGCAGCCGCGGUAAUACGGGGGAUGCGAGGGUUAUCCGGAUUUAUGGGGUUUACAGGGUGCGCAGUUGUCUGGUUAAGUCAGCGGUAAAAUUUCGGGGCUCAACCCCGACAAGCCGUUGAAACUGGCUUGCUAGAGUGGGUGAGAAGUAUGCGGAAUGCGUGGUGUAGCGGUGAAAUGCAUAGAUAUCACGCAGAACAUCGAUUGCGAAGGCAGCAUACCGGCGCCCAACUGACGCUCAGGCACGAAAGCGUGGGUAUCGAACAGGAUUAGAUACCCCGGUAGUC
This 459-nucleotide ribosomal RNA is filed under the name uncultured bacterium. RNAcentral describes it as "partial 16S ribosomal RNA". It matches the Rfam family "Bacterial small subunit ribosomal RNA", at positions 338 to 795 of the family's 1533-position model. The record is from RNAcentral.